Acanthochromis polyacanthus (spiny chromis) is the source of this 4792-nucleotide long non-coding RNA. RefSeq lists it as uncharacterized. Lineage: Eukaryota; Metazoa; Chordata; Actinopteri; Pomacentridae. The transcript is spliced from 2 exons. The record is from RefSeq and is a predicted model, not a curated record.
GGACAACUUCUCUUAAGCUGUUGUAAAAUUACUUUCAAAAACUCAGCAAUUCUGAAAUCUGUCUUCCUUUGUCUUGGAGCAUGUUUAUUUCCAAUCUGAACAAAAGAUGUUGGUGUUUUCCACCUUUUUAUACUAAAUUCUUCCACUAUAGUGUUUUUUUGUGAUGCAGUAGUUGGAAAAAAGAGUCAAAGGAGACUAAAGUGUCUGCGGGUCUUAGAUUUCAUGGAAAUUCAUGCUGAAACAUUAAAAAUUAUAUCCUUUUUGUGCAUGCACUUAUAUCCAAUAUCUUUGUUCCUUAUGGUUAGAACUAAUUAACCCUUUAAGCUUCAGUGUACCGCCGGCGGUACACCUACUAAUUUGCAUAGGAAUUUCAAGAAUGUCCGACGGCUGCAAACGCGAUUAUACAAACACUAUACACCGAUGGAAAGCUUAGAUUCUCAUGAAUCCGCCGGUAUAAACCACUUUCAGAUGCGAUUACCACAGCGGGUGAGAAAAACACAUUUGUCCGACAAAAACAAAUAUUCAUCCAUCCGUUCUCUAUACACGGCUUCAACGCACACAGCGCGACUCACAUUUCCGGGUUUAUUAUUACACACACAAAAAAAGAUUCCACAAAAAACGGCCAUAAUCCAACCUUUUACAUCCAGAUGACACAAGCCAGUAAACUAUUUUGUCCAAAACAUGUCCUGAAGUCGUAUAAAAUCCCCGAAUCGGUCGUUUUCAAGGAAAUGCACCUCCCGAUGCACGUCCAAUAUUCCCCGUAUUUUUCGUAAUUUUUUUUAUUUAAAAAUAGAAUAUUAGCGAUUUUUUUGUACUGAAAACGGCUGGAAAUGACUGAAGCUUAAAGGGUUAAAAAAAUCUACUUUUCUUUCACUGUCACAUUUACAGUUUUACCUCAAACCUAAUGCUGAAACAUGUACGUGUUUAUUAAACCUCUGUGUAUGUCAAACCACUUACAGAAAGGACAUUAUUUCUAUUAGCUUUGAUGACAAAAUGAUUAUUUUUUUUACAUAUAUAUAUAUAUUCAGGUACAGAGCAUUCUGAGUCUUCUCUCCAUUUUCCAUUACAGUACUGUCUUUUGAAACUUGUGUGGGUGGACAAAAAAUAUACUAAAAAAUAGGCUAUAUACAAAACUAAUAGUUUACUAAACUAAUACUAAACUAAUAGUUUAGUAUGUGGUCCAUUUGGUCACAUUCAAAAUGUGACAAAAACGUCAUAGUUUACUGUCGUUCGUAAUAUGGAAAAAGAAGUCACAGUUUAGUAUGUCGUCCAAAAUGUCACAAAAACGUCAUAGUUUAGUAUGUGGUCCAAAACAUAGAAUAAAACGUUAUAGUUAAAAAAAAAAAAAAGUCAUAGUAUCGUAUGUCAACAAAAAUGUUGUGAAAAAUGUCAUAGUAUAGUAUGUCGCAGGGCUACAUAUACUGACAAACAAUCACACUCACAUUCAUACCUAUGGGCAAUUUAGAGUGAUCAAUUAACCUCAGCAUAUUUUUGGACUGUUGGAGGAAGCCGGAGUACCCGGAGAAAACCCACGCAUGCACAGGGAGAACAUGCAAACUCCAUGCAGAAAGAUCCCAGGCCCAGCCCGGGAUUUGAACCGGAGAUCUUCUUGCUGCAAGGCGAAAGAGCUAACCACUACUCCACUGUGCAGCCCGUCGACAAAAAUGUCGUGAAAAAAGUCAUAGUAUAGUAUGUCGACAAAAAUGUCGUCAAAAACAGUCAUAGUAUAGUAUGUUGACAACACUGUCGUCAAAAAAAGUCAUAGUAUAGUAUGUCGACAAAAAUGACGUAAAAAAAAGUCAUAGUAUAGUCUGUCGACAAAAAUGUCAUCAAAAAAAGUCAUAGUAGUAUGUCGACAAAAAUGUCGUGAAAAAGUCAGUGUUGUAUGUCGACAAAAAUGUUGUUAAAAAUAAAGUAUGUUGACAAAAAUGUCGUCAAAGAAGUCAUAGUAUAGUAUGUUUACAACGUCAUCAAAGUAUUGUCUGUCGACAAAAAGUUCGUGAAAAAGUCAUAGUAUAGUCUGUCGACAAAAAUCUCAUCAAAAAAGUCAUAGUAUAGUCUGUCGACAAAAAUGUCAUCAAAAAAAGUUUAUAGUAUGUCGACAAAAAUGUCGUGAAAAAGUCAGUGUAGUAUGUCGACAAAAAUGUCGUUAAAAAUAAAGUAUUUCGACAAAAAUGUCAUCCAAAAAGUCAUAGUAUAGUAUGUUUACAACGUCAUCAAAGUAUCGUCUGUCGACAAAGUUCGUGAAAAAGUCAUAGUAUAGUCUGUUGACAAAAAUGUCAUCAAAAAAAGUCAUAGUAUAGUCUGUCGACAAAAAUGUCGUCAAAAAAGUUUAUAGUAUAGUAUGUCGACAAAAAUGUAGUGAAAAAGUCAGUGUAGUAUGUCGACAAAAAUGUCGUUAAAAAUAAAGUAUUUUGACAAAAAUGUCGUCAAAAACAGUCAUAGUAUAGUAUGUUGACAACACUGUCGUCAAAAAAAGUCAUAGUAUAGUAUGUCGACGAAAAUGACGUCAAAAAAAGUCAUAGUAUAGUAUGUCGACAAAAAUGACGUCAAAAAAAGUCAUAGUAUAGUCUGUCGACAAAAAUGUCGUCAAAAAAAGUCAUAGUAUUAUGUCGACAAAAAUGUCGUGAAAAAGUCAGUGUAGUAUGUCGACAAAAAUGUCGUUAAAAAUAAAGUAUUUCGACAAAAAUGUCAUCCAAAAAGUCAUAGUAUAGUAUGUUUACAACGUCAUCAAAGUAUCGUCUGUCGACAAAGUUCGUGAAAAAGUCAUAGUAUAGUCUGUUGACAAAAAUGUCAUCAAAAAAAGUCAUAGUAUAGUCUGUCGACAAAAAUGUCGUCAAAAAAAGUUUAUAGUAUAGUAUGUCGACAAAAAUGUAGUGAAAAAGUCAGUGUAGUAUGUCGACAAAAAUGUCGUUAAAAAUAAAGUAUUUCGACAAAAAUGUCGUCAAAAACAGUUAUAGUAUAGUAUGUUGACAACACUGUCGUCAAAAAAGUCAUAGUAUAGUAUGUCGACGAAAAUGACGUCAAAAAAAGUCAUAGUAUAGUAUGUCGACAAAAAUGACGUCAAAAAAAGUCAUAGUAUAGUCUGUCGACAAAAAUGUCGUCAAAAAAAGUCAUAGUAGUAUGUCGACAAAAAUGUCGUGAAAAAGUCAGUGUAGUAUGUCAACAAAAAUGUCGUUAAAAAUAAAGUAUGUUGACAAAAAUGUCGUCAAAGAAGUCAUAGUAUAGUAUGUUUACAACGUCAUCAAAGUAUCGUCUGUCGACAAAAAGUUCGUGAAAAAGUCAUAGUAUAGUCUGUCGACAAAAAUGUCAUCAAUAAAAGUCAUAGUAUAGUCUGUCGACAAAAAUGUCGUCAAAAAAAGUUUACAGUAUAGUAUGUCGACAAAAAUGUUGUGAAAAAGUCAGUGUAGUAUGUCGACAAAAAUGUCGUUAAAAAUAAAGUAUUUCAACAAAAAUGUCGUCAAAAAAGUCAUAGUAUAGUAUGUUUACAACGUCAUCAAAGUAUCGUCUGUCGACAAAAAGUUCGUGAAGAAGUCAUAGUAAUAGUCUGUUGACAAAAAUGUCGUUAAAAAUAUAGUAUACCAACGAAAAUGUCGUCAAAAAAGUCAUAGUAUAGUAUGUCAACAAAAAUGUCAUCAAAUAAAGUCAUUAUAGUAUCUCGACAAAAUGUUGUCAAAAAGUCAUAGUGUAGUCUGUCGACAAAAAUGGCGUUAAAAAUAUAGUAUGUCGACAAAAUGUUGUCAAAAAAUCAGUGUAGUAUGUCGACAAAAUUUUCGUGAAAAAAGUCAUAGUAUAGUAUGUCGACAAAAAUGUCGUCAAUAAAGUCAUAGUAUAGUCUGUCGACAAAAAUGUUUUGUUCAAGUUUUGUUUGCCUUUUUUAUAUAAUUGUAUCAAUGGUUGUGUAAUGUGACUGUAUUCACAUCAGCUGUUGUGUUCAUACCAGGCCCCACCGCAUCCACCACCACCCCCCCACCCCACCCCCACUGCCCACUAUCACUACAGCAUUCCUUUGCUUGCCUACUCGCUUGCUGUCUUUUGAUAUAAUUACCAGAACCUGCCUUGUGAAAACAGCUGAUUCAGAGCUGCUCUACGGCACCUCCCUCCCUACCCUAAAUGUAUUCACCCGCUCCCCUUCAAAUGGGGACUGGGGCCAAAGUAAACAAGGGAGAAAAGGAAAUGAAUAAAUAAAAAAAUAGCUGCCUUAUGUAUGAACUAAACUUAUUAAUGUGUAUUUGCCUUGUGUGCACGAGCGGCGCUUACUACCAGGUAGUCUGUAUACGAAGGGCUUACUCUCGCUACCAACUAAUAACCACCUGUAGCCCUGUUGUAGUGGAGACUGAUUGUACAGAUUGCUCAGAUGCAGCUCUGCACACGCCCACUGCUCCCCCAGAUUAAAAUUUGGAUGGAGCUGAAUGUUAAGAAUUAGUGAAAAGGUCCAAAAAAAACAAAAAACACACUACAAAUCGAUGAUUGGCACCCUCGUUCCUUUUAGCCAUGAGGCCUUAGCACUAACUACAAAAACGGCAACAAACAUUUCUAGAAAGUCUUUUUGUUAUUCCCCUUUGCCUUAAUGUACAUCAUUCCCCCUACAACGUCCCCUCACUCCCCUCUGUUUGUUCAGAUUGCUUCAUAAGCCUGCAGUUAGGAGACCCCUGGUGUGGAGAUCCAGAGAAAGCACAGGAGGAGGCAGAGCCAGGCACCGUCUGCUGCUGCCGGAGACCUCGGCGGUGUCUGGCCUCAGCCACACACUGACCCUGGUAGUGGACACAAAACUGACCAGGCCUUUUUGUUU